Lactuca sativa (garden lettuce) is the source of this 4617-nucleotide non-coding RNA. Lineage: Eukaryota; Viridiplantae; Streptophyta; Magnoliopsida; Asterales; Asteraceae. The record is from RefSeq and is a predicted model, not a curated record.
AUCCCUUGUUCCCCUUAGCAUCCCAAAAUAACCCUAAAGUCCCCCACACGAUAACUAGGGUUUUUUCACUUCAACAUUCUCAAGAAGGUCCAUCUAGGGUACGACUACAACACUUCAUCUCACUGGCCGACGACCUCAUCAGGUGCGCCUCAGUGAUCACUUCACCGGCGGCUGUGACUCAUCAGCGUCACCGUGUCGGAGACUGCUUCCCGACCCUAGUUUCCAUCUACGUCUGCCUCCUAAAACAUAUGACGAUACCUUGUUUGAUCCUCUAUCGGGAAGCUUGAUGUUGAAUCCCUUGUAAGUUAAACAGUUGGACAUGAUUGUCAAAUACGAUUGGAAUUUUGAUCAUUACUUUGAAGAAGACGUUCCUGCUACGGUGAGGUGAUAUUAAUAUAUAAUUUCCCAUUUUACCCUUCCGUAUCUACAGAUAUAUUGUUAAACAAAUAGUGUUUCUAAAUUAUAACAACAGAUGGAAUAUAUAAAGGCCCAUACUAAACCAGAAGAUGGUAAAUUGGUUGUUGUAGGACACUCCAUGGGUAUUGAAAAAGCUCGUAUUAAACAAUUUCUGUAAGUAUAUCAUAUUUUGUAAUGACAUUUUAGUAAUAAUAAAUAAUUAUCGAGCUUUUUUUUAAAAUUUUUUGAAGGUACGAUACCUGCUAAACUGUUGUUGCAGCUGACAUCAGCGUUUUGUGAGGGUGGUUUAUGUAGCAGAAGUGGGAGAUUUUUUUUAUAAAGAUCAUAUUAAUAAAAUCAAUGUUCCUGUGUUGGCUAUUGCAGGGGAUCGAGAUGCAAUAACUUUAUAGGAAGUGCACAUGAUGUGUUUGUGGAAAUGCCCAAGAGAAGGUAAUAUGUUUGUAUUAUCUGAUAUGAUUCCAAUAAGCUUCUCUUCUUGCUCUUUUGUUCUGUUAAAAAGGGUAUCAAAAUGCUGGACUUGAAAAAAUAGCUCUAUGGAAGCUGUUAAUAUGUUUAAAGGAAGUGCACAUGACGUGUUUGUGGAAAUGCCCAAGAGAAGGUAAUAUGUUUGUAUUAUCUUAUAUGAUCCCAAAUUGGUCAGUCUGAACUAUACAAGUGUGAACUAUACAGAUAGUUGCAUUCGCGUAAUGGCUUUUGGCUUGCUACCAAACAAAAACUUCUUUUAAUUACCUAAAUAAUUAAUAUAUUAAAUACUAAUUCAAAAAAGUGAAAAACAUUGAUCAAAAUCAUGCAACAUGUUGUAAAUACUUUAAUAUACCUUGAAUACCAUAUUUGUUUUAGCUAACAAAUUUAAUAUUUACUCAUUAGGCCCAAUUGGCAUAUCAUAAAGGCAAACACAUAAAAUUUAUAACAGUCACAAUUCAUAAACCACAUAUUUUUAUUAAAUAUAUCCACUAAUUAAAGCUAGAGCUUGAAAUAGCUUCAUGCAUUAAGCUUUGGUACCCAUCCAACAAUCACAUAUUCUUCAACAGCUUUGGUUUUCUCAAAUGACUCCAAAGCAAACAAAGACUGCACCAAAUAAAUCAUAAGUUUUUAUGCACAUGAUUAUAAAUAAAUAAAUAAAUAAGAAUCAUAUUUAUGUGAAAUAAAUAAAUAAACAAAGACUGCACCAAAUAAAUCAUUCUGAUUCCAGCCAAGUAUCUCCAAAGACUGUUUUUGUUUUUUUUCCUCCCUUUUAAUUUGCAGAAUGAUGUUGAGUCUGGAUAUUUUAACAAAUGGCUUAUGGAACAUCACUGUGUUUCAUUGGUAAAAAAAUUACAUUUUCUUUUAAUUUUUCAUGUUCAGCUGCUUAAUUGUUUUUCUUUUUUCUUACACAUCAGAAUAGUUGAAGAACAAUGAUGGAUCAUGUAAGCACUAAUUGGUGCAAAUACAUUCUAUUAUGUUUUUAGACCUUUGAAAUAAAUCAAUUUCAUUUCUAUUUUUCUAUCUCAAAAUUCUAAUCGGUGCAAAUACAUUCUAUUAUGUUUUUAGAACUUGGGGUUGAUGAUAAACAACUUGACGAAGAAUUCUAGGAAGAAUAGUUUACUGAACGAUUUGAAAUCCCAAUCUCUAUAUAUUUUCUUAUUUGAAUUUUCAUUUUGAAACACAAUUAUUUUGAAAAAAAAUACUAAUUGAUAAGUUAAUGGUUCCAGAUCGUGCAUUAUCUAGCUCGUUCUGGAGGUAAAUGGAACCACUGUUUGGGUUUGUAUAGGACGUGGACAUGUCGUAUUUAAAGCAAGAGGGAAGCAUUCAGGCUACUUUUAUAGAUAGUGUCGGUGCAGUUUCUAAUGAACAAAAACCAGAAGCCCUGAACAUUUUGCAAGUCCAGGGGAGAUUCUUAUUGAGAUUAAGAGUAUUGGAAUUUAUCUAGAGCUAGUGGUUAUUAGAUGAAGUCAACAAAGUCUGCUUUGUGGCAUCACUUGACUACAGGUGACUUGAGAGUCCAUCGCAGAUAUUUGCGAUCAACUUAUGCUUCAGAUUGCUUCACAAGGCGUUGCAUUUCAAGACGAAUGGUCGUAUGUUAUGUAGAGUUGCAGACUCAAAACUUCUUUGAGAUACUGUUAUCAAUAAGUCCUAAAAGAUUGUUGAAACAGUUGAUAUUGUGGACUCUUUUCAGGCUUUACCACAAUUUGGUCUCCUCUCUCCUGUUAGAGUUUGCUCAAAUUGUUAUAAUUAUGCAUCUUGGAUUGGAAAUUCUGAUGGAGUUGCUUCUGUGAAUGGAGUAAAUUCUGUGACAGAUUCGGUUUCAAGGCUAGAUAUUAGUACACCUUCAAAUUCCAAUACAAAUCAAAGUGCUGCUGUAGAUUGCAAGUGUGGAAUGCCUUUAUGUAUUUGUGAGGUGCCUUCAAAUGAUGAUGUGGCUCCUAUGCAGGCAAGUCAUACUCAUUUUAAUCACCUUCAUUUGCAUCAUACUAAGAACCUUAAUGAGUGUUGGCUUUGCUGAUUCUGAUGGAAUUGGAAUUCAGGAUUCCGUUCCAUGUUUGAUGGAUUUCUCGGGGAGGGUGGAAGGAACCCAAUUCCAUUCGUCUUUUUCUAUCAAGAAAACAGAUAACCCUCGUUGGAAUAAAAAAACAAUAGUUCAAUAUACAUAUUUAGAAUAAGCAAACAAUAAAUAAGUAUACAUAAAAAUUCAAAAACUGUAUGAUUUUUAAUUUUUUAUUGUAUGGACUUGUGCUUUGCUUGCAGCCUAAACCCUUCCCAACUUCCACAAUUCCCAGUAUUUCAAAAACAAAGAAAGCAGACACAACACCAAGGAGUAGAGCCUCUUCAUCUAGCAAGUACAGGGCUGUUGUUGUUACAUACAUGUAUAUUUCAACCAAAUUCCUUCGAAUUUCAAGUAGCACAUGGUUAAGUUACUGGACAGAGCAAAGCACUACAACAGCUCGAGGCCCCGCUUUUCACAUUCUCAUCUAUGCCCUCUUGUCCAUUGGACAGUUCUGUAUGUUGCUGUUAUUAUUACAUCAAGUCAAAUCAGAUGACACAUCAAUAUUUUGUUACCAGUCAAAUUUGUGAAAAAUUCUAAUCUUAUUUUCUGGUGAUUUAUUUCAAUUUUAUUUUUUAAUUUAUUGUUUGUGUAUUAUGGGGACCUGUGGUCUAACUUCUUCAACUUCAUUUUUCUCUGAAUGACAUGACAGUACUUACAUGGCGUCACUAAGUUCACUAUAGACGGUUGCGAAAUCCUUCGUCAGGUAAGAUUUAGUUAUAAGAUUCUUUUUUUAUUUGGAUUUUAUUUAUGAUUUUAUUCAUGAUUUGAUGAAAUGCUUGGUUGAAGAUGAUUGAGAAGGGUAAAAUAGUCAUUUGCACUAGUUUAUCUUUUGUUCAAAUCUGAUCGGGUGUAAUAGUAAAAAAUGAGCUACAUGCUGCUCUUUCUCUCUUAAAUAUAGCAGUUGCAUCAAAGCUUUUUGCUGCCAUGGAUCCAGAUCAGGUACUUCCUCUUGACCAGAAGGGUAAAAUAGUCAUUUGUUUGUUACUGUUCAAGAUUUGACAAUUAUUAUUAAAAUAAACCUCCUGGAAUGCCUUUAUGAACCACCUAGGCUGGUGAGCUAUCUUCCCAUUUAAAUACACAUCUUUCUAUCAUUAAAGACAAAAUGCUUUUUUUAACUCAAAAUAACCACCAAGUUAUAAUUUUACUCUUGAAUAUUUGAUUAUAUUUGCAAUUUUAGACCAUUAAUUGCUUCACUUUGGCAUGAUUUUUUUUACUUUUCCACUCUCAGGCAGUAGCGGGACCAUGCCAUAGCAUCACCCUGACUUCCAAUGGUUUUGUUUCCAUUAUUUGGCUGGUGGACUAUUAUCUUUCAUGUCUGAGUUUGUUCUUAAGUGCUAUUGGCUACUUGUUGUUCCUUUGAAGGGGUAUGAUUCUCAUCACAUCACUGAAGAGCAUCUAGGUGGCAAAAUAAUAUCACGUUCUGUUCUGCUUUUUGCCUUUGAAACUGCAAGAGAUGCCGGAGCCCUUAGAGAACCCAAGGACAAACUGGAGAAGUGAGUUGAAGAGCUGACAUGGAGAUUAGACUUUUCAAAACAUUUGAGGGUAUAGUUUUUUAUAUUUCUUGUAUCUAAUUAGUUUGUAAAUUUUUGUUACAACCAUUGAUUUGUUUUGUCUUUCCAUGGAACGAUUAUUUGUAUGACAUUAAAUUUUACGCAAUGGAUUGUAUUUUUUGUAUA